This 328-nucleotide unclassified non-coding RNA is filed under the name soil metagenome. RNAcentral's name for it is "partial contains 5.8S ribosomal RNA, internal transcribed spacer 2, and large subunit ribosomal RNA". The stretch from base 1 to 120 matches the Rfam family "5.8S ribosomal RNA", at positions 35 to 154 of the family's 154-position model. The record is from RNAcentral.
GAUGAAGAACGCAGCGAAAUGCGAUAAGUAGUGUGAAUUGCAGAAUUUAGUGAAUCAUCGAAUCUUUGAACGCACAUUGCGCCCCUUGGUAUUCCGGGGGGCAUGCCUGUUCGAGCGUCAUUUCAACCCUCAAGCUCUGCUUGGUCUUGGGCCGCGCCGGCGACGGCGGGCCUCAAAAACAGUGGCGGCGCCAUCUGGUUCCUCAGCGUAGUAAUUCUUCUCGCUGUUGGGCCCGGGUGGCCGCUGGCCAGCAACCCCAAAUUUUCUAUGGUUGACCUCGGAUCAGGUAGGGAUACCCGCUGAACUUAAGCAUAUCAAUAAGCGGAGA